UGGUCUCCUGGAAAAGGGUGGUAAUGCCGGAUGCUCCGACUCCUCGCAUGGGGUGUCGGGAAAGAUUUCAUCGGUAUGGGAUGGGGUCGCGUCCUAUCAGGUAGUCGGCGGGGUAACGGCCCACCGAGCCUACGACGGGUAGCCGGCCUGAGAGGGCGACCGGCCACAUUGGGACUGAGAUACGGCCCAGACUCCUACGGGAGGCAGCAGUGGGGAAUAUUGCACAAUGGGCGCAAGCCUGAUGCAGCGACGCCGCGUGCGGGAUGACGGCCUUCGGGUUGUAAACCGCUUUUGAUCGGGAGCAAGCCUUCGGGUGAGUGUACCUUUCGAAUAAGCACCGGCUAACUACGUGCCAGCAGCCGCGGUAAUACGUAGGGUGCAAGCGUUAUCCGGAAUUAUUGGGCGUAAAGGGCUCGUAGGCGGUUCGUCGCGUCCGGUGUGAAAGUCCAUCGCUUAACGGUGGAUCUGCGCCGGGUACGGGCGGGCUGGAGUGCGGUAGGGGAGACUGGAAUUCCCGGUGUAACGGUGGAAUGUGUAGAUAUCGGAAAGAACACCACCCC
RNAcentral lists this ribosomal RNA (560 nucleotides) under Bifidobacterium pseudocatenulatum. RNAcentral's name for it is "bacterial SSU rRNA". It matches the Rfam family "Bacterial small subunit ribosomal RNA", at positions 143 to 715 of the family's 1533-position model. Lineage: Bacteria; Bacillati; Actinomycetota; Actinomycetes; Bifidobacteriales; Bifidobacteriaceae. The record is from RNAcentral.